UACGAAGGGGGCUAGCGUUGUUCGGAAUUACUGGGCGUAAAGCGCACGUAGGCGGACAUUUAAGUCAGGGGUGAAAUCCCGGGGCUCAACCCCGGAACUGCCUUUGAUACUGGGUGUCUUGAGUCCGGAAGAGGUGAGUGGAAUUGCGAGUGUAGAGGUGAAAUUCGUAGAUAUUCGGAAGAACACCAGUGGCGAAGGCGACUUACUGGACACAUAUUGACGCUGAGGUGCGAAAGCGUGGGGAGCAAACAGG
This 253-nucleotide ribosomal RNA is filed under the name uncultured bacterium. RNAcentral's name for it is "partial 16S ribosomal RNA". It matches the Rfam family "Bacterial small subunit ribosomal RNA", at positions 524 to 776 of the family's 1533-position model. The record is from RNAcentral.